Molecule: ribosomal RNA, 253 nt
Filed under: uncultured bacterium
Lineage: Bacteria
Description: partial 16S ribosomal RNA
Rfam family: Bacterial small subunit ribosomal RNA
Source: RNAcentral
UACAGAGGGGGCAAGCGUUGUUCGGAAUUACUGGGCGUAAAGGGCGCGUAGGCGGCCUGCUAAGUCGAACGUGAAAUCCCUGGGCUCAACCCAGGAACUGCGUCCGAUACUGGUUGGCUUGAAUCCGGGAGAGGGAUGUGGAAUUCCAGGUGUAGCGGUGAAAUGCGUAGAUAUCUGGAGGAACACCUGUGGCGAAGGCGACCCCCUGGUUGGAUACUGACGCUGAGACGCGAAAGCGUGGGGAGCAAACAGG